ACCUGGGUCACACAGUUGAGAGAAGUUAGGUCCUCCGUCCACCAGGGUCUCCUGCUCUUGCUCUAACGUCCACACAGACCACCACUGUCCUCUGCUCUGUCUCUGUUAGGACCUCCUUCUGAGGAGGAACAUUGUCUCCACCUCCUCACCUUCAACAUGUUCGUUAUUGUCUGAAAAACUGACAUUAGUCUGGAAAUUAACCCUGUGCUCAGCACUGCUCUCUAGUGGAUGUAUUGCUUUAAAAUACUAUUACUAUACUAUUAUUACUAUACCAAACGUAGGGCGCGAAAAUAAUUAAUGGCAUUUCGGCUGGUUCUCGUGUAUCGGCUCCCUAAUAAUGCACGUUAAGAUCUCAAAUGGCUCCUUAUAGUUUUUUUUUUUUGCUUAAAUAAAUAUACUACUAUACUACAGUUAAAUGCAAAAUUAUGUUUUAUGUAUUAUGUAAACAACACAAAUAAACCACGGGUUGCAGGACGCAGGUCUAGGUUCUCGAUCCUGCUCGAAUCAUUCACUUAAGAGGAACGGUUCUGAGAGACGGUUCGUUCGCGACCGAGCCAUCACGAGCGUACGGGAACGUACGACGUUUACGGACGUACUUUUCUACGUAAAGGAAGUGCAAACCAAACAGACCGAUAGCGCCACAACGUCCGGGACUGCUUCACUGCUAAGAGAGUUUUUGUUGCUAAAACGUUAGCGACGUUAACGGAGACUAAAGGAAAAUACAAACAUUCACUGAAAAGUGACGGGGAAUUUAAAGGACAAAAAUAGGAGCACUGACUUCUACAACUAAAGGCUCUAAUGUGAACACUUCUCAGAGCCUCCUGCUCUACCAUCCAAGUGCUGCCGUUUACAACGUGUCCGUUAAAAGGUGCCAGCUGGUCUGGACUCGGGAAGCUGCAGCUCCUGGAAGAAGGAAACAGAAGAGAGAGAGGAAGUGUUGGAGUCCGGACCAUGUCCUCAGCCCUGUGUGGUGUGGACACCUCCUCUGAAGGACCAGUGGCAACACACAUCCUCCAGAUACUGCUCUCCUGUUCUGAUGAAGCCGAUUGUCCACCUUUACACCCCCUCGUUUCCCCGAGGCUGACUGCUGAAGGUUCAUCUUCAAGUGUCCGUUCCCCGUGUCCCUGAAUCCCACUGGAACUCCAGCGGUCAGUCAUCCUUAGUCUUGGAGUGACACAGCAUCAGGGACCUGGACGGGGGUUAAUCAAAGUCUGAAGGGACUGUGUGAUGUCAGCGUUCAUCCAGGCCAACUUUCCUCUGACACACACUGCCUCAUUGAGGUGAGAGCACAGAGCAGUGUCACUGUUCACAUGGACCGAGAGGAAAAACUGGGUGGGAACGUGGAGCACUGACGGUCACAUUUAAAUGUGAGCUUAGACUUAAGGCUAAAUAAACUGUGGUUACACAUGUUUGCACGGUGUGUGUGUGUGGAAAUGCACUGAGAAAUCUAACUUGUUGCCUGCAGCAGCAGCACCGCACAGACCAACAGAGGCGUAUUGAGAGAACAUCUGUGGGUGGACUCUCUGCAACGCUGAACAAAGUGAAUGUUGUUGCUGCUUUCUGCGUGUUUUUAUGUUAUUUUCAGCGCUCAGAUGGUGCAGCAGGACAGACUGAUGACAGCCAAGAACACCACGUGAUGGGAAACACCUCUCAGUCAUGCUGCAGAGAAGCUGCUCCGCUCUGUACGGUAACACUGUUGUGAUUGUUGUGAAGCUUUGCCCUCAAGAUGCCUCCACAGACACUUCCUGCCCAUCUGGCCUCUGUUGUCACAGUGUGGAACAACAAGUGCACGCUGCUCACAGACCUGUGGUCAAGUCCUUGACUGGUUCCAGGUGUGCCAGGCUCAGGGGGGAGAAUGGUCAAACUCUUCAAUCAAGGGUCCCUCAAAUUGUUCCCAGUGUGGAUCAACAAGUCCAUGCUGCUCACAGACACGUGGUCCGAUCCUGGUCUGGUUCCAAAUGUGCUGCGCUCAGGCCUGGAUCCAAAAAAAGAUCUGUGGGCAGGUCAACGUGGCUCAAAGGUCAGGGUGUGGGUGUGGAACCGUCCAGCCGACCUUCUCUUCCCCUCUGCAGACAAGACAAAAGAAGUUGGGGGUUUGAGUCUCUGAGGUCAAGGGUGAGUGUAGUACUGUUCCAGGAGCCGGGCUGGGCCGGGCCACAGUUUAAAAAUGGAGCGGAACGCCGGCCAAGUUUCCACUUUCUGUGUCUUUAUGUUGAACAGAGGGUGUUUUCAGUAAAACACAGCAGAUGUCAAGGCUCAGUAGAAACUUCUGGACUUCAUCACCUGCAAUAACAAGUGAAUCACCCUGGCUGUUAACAAAGGACCUGCUCCACAGAGUCACACACGUUUCUUUCUGAAAGUCAAGUAUGUUUAGGGGCUAAAAUUAUUCAAAAUUAUCUUUUUUUAAUCAUAAUCAAGCACCAGGGAUGCUGGGAAAAAUUGAUUCCAAUUGGCAGGUGUCUUUUUUAGAGUAAAUAUGUGUUCUGACAGUGGCUGUGCUGAAGGUUGUUGGUUCAAGUCCAGCUUGUGCUCAGUUCUAAGUUGUAUUGCAUCGCUAUGGCGACCCUGAUGGAGGGCAGCAGGAGUGUUUUCUUGUUUUUCUUUUCUGUAAUUUUCUCGGAAAUAUUAACGAUCAUUUCCUGGACCGACUGGUAUAACUAAUUUGCUGAUCCAAAAAUGGGAUUCACUCUACAGUGUCUCGGUGUCGUAUUACACGUUGGAGAAGGAGCUUUGUCAUUCAAUCAGCCAGACAUGAAUAAUGCAGCCAAGAUAAGGUUCCUCUUCUCAGGUUACUACAGUGUUCUAGGAACUGAUUACAUUCACCUUGUUGUUGGUCAACCAAGAGUUUAUAUCUGCAGUAGAGCGGCCGCCAGGAGUCCAGCACUGACUCAAUAUCUACAGUAUUAUUUCAUUACCUGUGGUGACAAAGGCAGAAGUAGAUGAGUUGUUCUUCUCUGUUGUCAGAUUAACAUGGAUUUCAUAUGUGGACCCUGGAGUGGGAGGAUAACUGGUUCAGUCUGUCCAAGUAGCUGGGAAUACUUUUCCUACUUUUCCUCAAAUGUUUUCCUGUUUCCCUUUUGGCUGCCAUGUGUGUAGGCAUGCAAGGUCAAAAGGUCUCUAGAUGAGAUUUUUCAUGAAAGAAAAAAAAAUCAGAUGAGCUUCACUCAUUUGAACAGGUUUCCAUUGACAUUUGGUUAAAAAGUGACCUUUGCUUCAUUUCGGAGGCUUAAAUAAAAGAGUUGAUCAAAUCAAAGCUCAACACUGGACAAAGAUACGACGAUAAAACUGAUCAGAACUGUUGGAGGCGACUUAGAAAGGUAUCUUAUCUAGAACCUUUGAAGUCAUGACAUCUGUCCUAGAUCUUUUUGACUUACAGUCUCGUUCUCAGCUGAGCCAGUGUUUACUACAGGAGACAGUACUUUAUGUCCACAUUCAUGAAUAAAACACUAAUUUACCCACAUGGUUAUUUAAGCAGCUCCAUAUGAUGCAGUAAAGGCUGCUUACACUAUUCUUCCACGUUGGUGUUGUUAGUACUGUGGGGUGGGGGGGUAGAGGGGGGAGAGGUGGC
Cynoglossus semilaevis (tongue sole) is the source of this 3568-nucleotide long non-coding RNA. RefSeq lists it as uncharacterized. Lineage: Eukaryota; Metazoa; Chordata; Actinopteri; Pleuronectiformes; Cynoglossidae. The record is from RefSeq and is a predicted model, not a curated record. The transcript is spliced from 9 exons.